RNAcentral lists this ribosomal RNA (501 nucleotides) under uncultured bacterium. RNAcentral describes it as "bacterial SSU rRNA". It matches the Rfam family "Bacterial small subunit ribosomal RNA", at positions 21 to 507 of the family's 1533-position model. The record is from RNAcentral.
GGCUCAGGAUGAACGCUAGCUACAGGCUUAACACAUGCAAGUCGAGGGGAAACGACAUCGAAAGCUUGCUUUUGAGUGGGCGUCGACCGGCGCGACGGGUGAGUAACGCGUAUCCAACCUGCCCACCACUUGGGGAUAACCUUGCGAAAGUAAGACUAAUACCCAAUGAUAUCUCUAGAAGACAUCUGAAAGAGAUUAAAGAUUUAUCGGUGAUGGAUGGGGAUGCGUCUGAUUAGCUUGUUGGCGGGGUAACGGCCCACCAAGGCGACGAUCAGUAGGGGUUCUGAGAGGAAGGUCCCCCACAUUGGAACUGAGACACGGUCCAAACUCCUACGGGAGGCAGCAGUGAGGAAUAUUGGUCAAUGGAGGCAACUCUGAACCAGCCAAGUAGCGUGCAGGAUGACGGCCCUAUGGGUUGUAAACUGCUUUUAUGCGGGGAUAAAUUGACUCACGUGUGGGUUAUUGCAGGUACCGCAUGAAUAAGGACCGGCUAAUUCCGUG